RNAcentral lists this unclassified non-coding RNA (189 nucleotides) under Moritella viscosa. Its description in RNAcentral is "putative sRNA". The record is from RNAcentral. Lineage: Bacteria; Pseudomonadati; Pseudomonadota; Gammaproteobacteria; Alteromonadales; Moritellaceae.
AUUGAAUCAAUAAAUUAAUCCGUGCAGCUAUCAACUUUAUCAAUGGAGAAUUAUGACUCGACAAGCUUAACUAGCAAGUAUGAUAAAAUAAUCUCGAUCAAUGACUACUACUUUUAUUAUUUUUAUUACUAAUAUUUAUUUUAGCAAUAAAAAAACCCCGCCAUAUAGGCGGGGUUUAAAAAUUCUUAG